Athene cunicularia (burrowing owl) is the source of this 378-nucleotide long non-coding RNA. RefSeq lists it as uncharacterized. The transcript is spliced from 2 exons. The record is from RefSeq and is a predicted model, not a curated record. NCBI's taxonomy places the organism in Eukaryota, Metazoa, Chordata, Aves, Strigiformes, Strigidae.
UAUUUUCAAUACCCAGUAGUAGGUUAAUGACUGUUCCUUGAAGAAUGGAGUUUAUAUAACACAAGUCAUUACAUAAGGAGGCUGAUUGUGGCCUGAGGAACAGAAGGAAAACAAAUAUGCAAGAAUGCAAAACCCAGAACAAGAAAACUCUACUUUGAUGCUCCUGAGAAGCCUGAGAUAGAAACGAUACUUGGGUUCCAGCAAGGUGAAACUAACCUUGAGGACGUGGAGGUGAAGGCUCUGCACGACACGACAAGCUCCUAAAUGUGGCCUGCGUUGGACUGACCCAAUAUCUCGGUGGAAUUAAAACCGCGGGAGAACCCGAAGCACGACCUUUUGCUCGGACCUUAGAUCUCAGACGGGACAGAGUCGCACGUG